AAUCAAUAAAAAGCGCCAGGACUAAGUGGAAUUUAGUUGAAAGUGAAUUUUUACAGGGUUGGUUUUUAUAAAAGGAAUUUAGUUAAUAGUAAGCUUUGAUAUAAGCUACGCGAAUAGCUAAUGAAAUCUUUUUAAAGGAAACUCGACUCACGUUCGUUCGCUGAGUAAAUUCAACUAUCCAAAUCGAAGAUUUGGAGUUUCAUUUACGUCGACGAGGUUGGGGAGUAUCGAAACUUCGGCGGGUGCCCCACGGUAUCGCACUACCGUAAACGACUGGUAAAACUGUGAAGUGAUUCACAGGACAAAUUCAGUCUGGUGUUAAAA
This 324-nucleotide non-coding RNA is filed under the name Clostridium beijerinckii. RNAcentral's name for it is "GlcN6P sequence". It matches the Rfam family "glmS glucosamine-6-phosphate activated ribozyme aptamer". From Rfam's summary of the family: This entry contains a glucosamine-6-phosphate activated ribozyme that is found in the mRNA for GlmS. GlmS is an enzyme that uses fructose-6-phosphate and glutamine to generate glucosamine-6-phosphate. The record is from RNAcentral. Lineage: Bacteria; Bacillati; Bacillota; Clostridia; Eubacteriales; Clostridiaceae.